Molecule: ribosomal RNA, 438 nt
Filed under: uncultured bacterium
Lineage: Bacteria
Description: bacterial SSU rRNA
Rfam family: Bacterial small subunit ribosomal RNA
Source: RNAcentral
GCUUGACGGUACCAGAGGAAUAAGCACCGGCUAACUCCGUGCCAGCAGCCGCGGUAAUACGGAGGGUGCNAGCGUUAUCCGGAUUCACUGGGUUUAAAGGGUGCGUAGGCGGGCAGGUAAGUCCGUGGUGAAAUCUCUGAGCUUAACUCAGAAACUGCCAUGGAUACUAUUUGUCUUGAAUAUUGUGGAGGUAAGCGGAAUAUGUCAUGUAGCGGUGAAAUGCUUAGAUAUGACAUAGAACACCAAUUGCGAAGGCAGCUUACUACACAGUUAUUGACGCUGAGGCACGAAAGCGUGGGGAUCAAACAGGAUUAGAUACCCUGGUAGUCCACGCCCUAAACGAUGAUUACUCGACAUCAGCGAUACACUGUUGGUGUCUGAGCGAAAGCAUUAAGUAAUCCACCUGGGAAGUACGAUCGCAAGAUUGAAACUCAAAGG